UCUCCGUUAGUGAACCAGCGGAGGGAUCAUUACCGAGUUUACAACUCCCAAACCCCUGUGAACAUACCAUUUGUUGCCUCGGCGGUGCCUGCUUCGGCAGCCCGCCAGAGGACCCAAACCCUUGAUUUUAUACAGUAUCUUCUGAGUAAAUGAUUAAAUAAAUCAAAACUUUCAACAACGGAUCUCUUGGUUCUG
RNAcentral lists this unclassified non-coding RNA (195 nucleotides) under plant metagenome. RNAcentral's name for it is "partial contains small subunit ribosomal RNA, internal transcribed spacer 1, and 5.8S ribosomal RNA". The record is from RNAcentral.